Paralichthys olivaceus (Japanese flounder) is the source of this 401-nucleotide non-coding RNA. Lineage: Eukaryota; Metazoa; Chordata; Actinopteri; Pleuronectiformes; Paralichthyidae. The record is from RefSeq and is a predicted model, not a curated record.
UUGUUUCCAAUGGGAGGCCCCGGGAGGCGAUGCCAAGCCGCUAGAAGGCGACUCAGUGAGCGGGGGGGGAGAGAAGCGCAGGCAGCAGCCGGGACUGUGGAGAUCCUGCAGCCGCCUCACGGUCCCUGUGCAUGCGGGUGAAAGCGGCGCGGGGUCGCCGGUGUGACGCCUGAGACUCAGCAGAUUGAUCGUCAGUUGAAGCCACAGUGGAGCAACAUGGAUGGAUUUCCUGACCAGCAAGUGCCUUACUGUAACUCCACAACGCUGCAAGAAAAGACGAGGAGCUGCGAGAGGCCAGCAAAUGACAGAAAGAGAAAAUUCAUUAAGUCCGACCUGGCUCAGGACACUGAAGAGCUCUUCCAGGACCUCAGUCAGCUGCAGGAGACCUGGCUGGCAGAAGG